This 412-nucleotide ribosomal RNA is filed under the name uncultured Rhodanobacter sp. Its description in RNAcentral is "bacterial SSU rRNA". It matches the Rfam family "Bacterial small subunit ribosomal RNA", at positions 506 to 916 of the family's 1533-position model. The record is from RNAcentral. Lineage: Bacteria; Pseudomonadati; Pseudomonadota; Gammaproteobacteria; Lysobacterales; Rhodanobacteraceae.
UGUCAGCAGCCGCGGUAAUACGAAGGGUGCAAGCGUUAAUCGGAAUUACUGGGCGUAAAGGGUGCGUAGGCGGUUUGUUAAGUCUGUCGUGAAAUCCCCGGGCUCAACCUGGGAAUGGCGAUGGAUACUGGCAAGCUAGAGUGUGUCAGAGGAUGGUGGAAUUUCCGGUGUAGCGGUGAAAUGCGUAGAGAUCGGAAGGAACAUCAGUGGCGAAGGCGGCCAUCUGGGACAACACUGACGCUGAAGCACGAAAGCGUGGGGAGCAAACAGGAUUAGAUACCCUGGUAGUCCACGCCCUAAACGAUGCGAACUGGAUGUUGGUCUCAACUCGGAGAUCAGUGUCGAAGCUAACGCGUUAAGUUCGCCGCCUGGGGAGUACGGUCGCAAGACUGAAACUCAAAGGAAUUGGCGG